GCUCGGCGGGCAGCUGGCGGCGCACCGUCAUGCCUUCCAGCGGCAUGGCCACGUUGAAGAAGGCGCGGUUCGUCCCCGAGGCGGCGCG
This 88-nucleotide transfer RNA is filed under the name Comamonas sp. KCTC 72670. RNAcentral describes it as "tRNA-Trp". The record is from RNAcentral. Lineage: Bacteria; Pseudomonadati; Pseudomonadota; Betaproteobacteria; Burkholderiales; Comamonadaceae.